This 132-nucleotide small RNA is filed under the name Klebsiella pneumoniae. RNAcentral describes it as "RtT sRNA". It matches the Rfam family "RtT RNA". From Rfam's summary of the family: This family represents a bacterial cis-regulatory element known as RtT RNA. The exact function of RtT is unknown although it is thought that it may be involved in changing the cellular response in relation to amino acid starvation. The record is from RNAcentral. Lineage: Bacteria; Pseudomonadati; Pseudomonadota; Gammaproteobacteria; Enterobacterales; Enterobacteriaceae.
UAUUCUGCCCUACAGGGAAGGAUGAGAAGCUUCGACUAAGGUUCGACUCGAGCGAAGCGAGAGAACGUUACCGCAGGCAACGGCCCGAAGGGCGAGGCGCUUUAGCGCCGAGUAAUCCUUCCCCCACCACCA